Molecule: small nucleolar RNA, 80 nt
Filed under: Vulpes vulpes (red fox)
Lineage: Eukaryota; Metazoa; Chordata; Mammalia; Carnivora; Canidae
Description: Small nucleolar RNA SNORD22 (ENSVVUG00000000358.1)
Rfam family: Small nucleolar RNA SNORD22
About the family: U22 is a member of the C/D class of snoRNA which contain the C (UGAUGA) and D (CUGA) box motifs.
Source: Rfam by way of RNAcentral
AGUCCCAGAGCCUAUAAAGGUGAACCCACUGGGCCUGGCUGGGGGAAAGGAGGAAGCUUGCUCCAGAAGGAACUGAGGGA